GUCACCGCAGCGCUGGGCGUCGAGGCGCCUCAGUCAGGUCGGGGUUCCGGGCGUGCGAGCUUCGCUCCGCGCUCUGCGCGCCUCCGGCCUCUCCGGCAGCCCUGGCCCGGCUCUGAAAAGAUGUGCGAGCAGCUGCUUGCCCCGCACACCCCGAGCCCUGGGUCGCGCGGCUCCCGCUCUGCGGGUUCAGGUCCGCACAUGGCCACAUCGCGCCUGCGCAGAGCCCUCUCUCUGAAGUUAAAAUAGAGUCUACGGGAAGAAGGGACACCUUCCCUGCAGAGGUUCUUCCUCAGCCGUACCGAUCGUGAGGAAACCUCAGCCCGAAGUCAUUCAAAAACACUCGAGAAAGUGAGGCCCUUAAAUCCCGGCGCUGAGGAGGCAGAGGCAGGCGGAUCAGUUUGAGUCCAGCCUGGUCUCCAGAGCUAUUUCUAGGACAGUCAGGACUACACAGAGAAAUAGCCUGUCUCGAGAAACUAAAGCAAACAAACAAACAAAAAAAAAGGAAUCUUGCUCCGCCAGGGGUGUGUUUGUGUGUUACAGCUCUGAAGGGAAAGGUAUCCUGGCUAUUCAGGAGCCAAGGAACACCACAAAGUCACAUCACACAACAGUCCUCACACAAGACAUUUUUGCCGGGGGUGUGGAAAACCCAGGAGGGCAGCUGCCUCUGCGCCAGUGAGAAGAGCAAAGAAAUGAGCAGAAGGCAGGAAAUAGGAGGCAUUUUGCAGAGGAGGAAACUGCAGUCUGAGGAGGUUGUCAAGCUGACAGACAGGAGAGCCAGCACCCAUACUCAGGAGUCACCCUAAGUAAGACAGCCUCCAUCUGAAGCCACCUGGCGAGCUUGCUUGGCGCUGAUGUGACAGGGAGAGCUGAGCUUCAGAGCAAUGUGAUCCUGCUGCCAGAGGGGCACCCUUACCAUUCGUCUCCAGAGACCGCCUCAACGCGUUCCAUGUGGACAGAAAAAUGGUGAUUCGAUCAUGCAACUGCUUUCUCAGCCCAUCUGUUGAGGAAAGUGUUUGGUAAGAACCAUGACAACAAUACAGCUAAGUUCUGACCCACUUGGUGCAAGCUCUCGAUGGAACCAACUCCCUGUUUUCCUAGCUAGUUGUAAUCAGUGUCUCCUCACCUCAUGCUGAAAGCUUAAAGCACAUGGCACCUGUUACUGAGCCCCUGUCCCUUCCUCUGUUAAAAUCAGAGGGUCCCGAUUCCUUUAUAGCACUUGGGCAGAGUCAUACCUGAAUGGUGACUGUUAAUAAAACCUCUGAUGGAACUGUACUCUGCUUCUGAAACAUUCUGGAAUCGUUUCACUAGAUCUCUUUGCA
This is a non-coding RNA of Cricetulus griseus (Chinese hamster), 1319 nucleotides long. NCBI's taxonomy places the organism in Eukaryota, Metazoa, Chordata, Mammalia, Rodentia, Cricetidae. The record is from RefSeq and is a predicted model, not a curated record.